Molecule: transfer RNA, 67 nt
Filed under: Trigonopterus sp. 8 AH-2016
Lineage: Eukaryota; Metazoa; Arthropoda; Insecta; Coleoptera; Curculionidae
Description: tRNA-Ser
Source: RNAcentral
GAAUCAAGAAAUACAAGACAAAGCUUCUAACUUUAGUCUUAAGCAGUGUAAUUCUGUUUUUGAUCCU